AAAGUAUAUUAUUUAUAGAAUAUGUUAUUACUUGAUUUUAAAUAAAUAACACAAAUAAUUUAUUUUAAAUAAAUUACUAGAUAUAGUAAUUAACUGAUAUUUUUAUCGAUUAAAAAUUUUUCGAAUACAAUCUAUUACUCUAUUAUCUUUAAAAAAUAUAAAAAUAAAGUAAAAUUUUCAAUUUUCAUUAUGGUUUUAGGCGGGUUAAGUUUUUGGACAGGCGGACAUUUUUUUUUUUGAGAGGGCGGGUUAAUAUUUGAAGAAGUGAAAACACACUCUCAAAAAUUAAAAUGUCUACCUAUCCACUCUGGACAUUUCUCUUUGCCUCUCUUCUAGAUCUAGCCAGUUCUCUCUCUCUCUCAGAUUUCUUUCAACUGAGCUGUAGAUAAAAGUCAAUUGGCUUCAAUUGAGAGUUAAACUUUCACAGAUCAAUGGAAAUGGGGACUCCUUGAACCGAUUCGAGCUUCAAACAAAACUAGGGUUUCAUGUUUGAAUUGGGGGUGUUUGGUUUUUGGUUCUGUUUUUGUGAGACUCACUCUGUUUUGGUACUAAUUUUGUUUCAUCUCUUUGUUCCAGUGCUAAUUUGGGGUUGAAUAAGUUGGGACUUAGCUUAAGCUUCUACUUUAAGGGAAGUCUCUCUUCUUGGAAAUGUAAAGGUAGCCUGGACAUGUUCAGGUGCAAGUGUUUGUCGAGGUUCAUACAGAAUUAUCUCCAUACUGGCAUGGAAAUAUAUAUGGCAACUGCUUGAAAAAUUGCUAAAGAGUCGAUGGAAUUGAUUGAUGAUGAACGUGUGGAACUCAUGGAUAUUGCAGCCUCUUGGAAAAGGGUUGCCCUCAAUAUUAUCUCUUGAUAGUGAUGCUUUGCAAAACCUUGAGUUAUUCAAAGGAUUGGUGUAAAAGCAGCUAGAGGCUGCUGAAAUGAAGGUUAUGGUUGCUCCUUUGCUCCAAAGCGAAUCUGGUCAAUUUUCUAUUGCUGAUAUGGUUCUUCACACACUGCUGGACUGGCAGCCAGAAGUCUGGGAUCUACCACCGUUCGAAGACUAUGUGUGCCAAUUAAUCCACUUAUAGCAUAUAUAAGUGUAGAACGUACAUCUUUAUAAUUUUGUUCAAUUGACUGGUAGUGAGUAGCAGGAUGUACUUUGAUUUGGUAGUUACUUUGGUUUUUAGCAACUUAGAUUUGGUUGGAAUUUUGGGAUGUUUAAUAUUUAAAGAGUAUAUUUUUAAUUUCUUUCAGUAAAUAAUGUUGCCUUUGAUUAAUAAAAUGUUGCAGCUCAUAUAGUAAAA
Molecule: long non-coding RNA, 1283 nt
Organism: Daucus carota subsp. sativus
Lineage: Eukaryota; Viridiplantae; Streptophyta; Magnoliopsida; Apiales; Apiaceae
Exons: 5
Source: RefSeq, a predicted model, not a curated record